CCCUGUAGCUUGGCGUUGUUCGCGGGGGCCGGUGGGAUCGGAACCCCGUGCUAGACUGAAAACACGAGCCUCUAAGGCUGAGAGGGGUUUAGUGCGGUUGUGCAGGAGCGCCGGCGCGCGCGACUUUUUCUGUGUUGGAGCGAGUUUAAGGAGGCGGCUCUGGGGGGUGAGGCGUUUAGGUGCGUGGCCUCCCCACUCUCGGGUGAGGUAACACAGACCUUGGAGCCAGAUUUGCUGGGUUUGUACCCCAGCCCCAACAGUUAAGCGCUCUGUGGCUUUGGGCAGCUCGGGUAGCAUGGAUCUCAUCAGCACAGAGAGAAAGCUUCACUGAAAACUCAUUGCAGGGCAGAACGUGGAGCUGGAGUGGGAGAGGCAGAUCAGAAAAAGCAUGUGACGAUCACCUUUCUAUUCAGGAGACACUGCAUACAGCCAGUGGAGGUCGCACCCCUUCAACUCAGAUGGCAACAGUGCAGUCAGAGGCCUGCCCUUCCAAGCCUCAGACCCAUGCAGCAGUACGAAUUGAGGUUAAAACACAGAUGCCACUAACCUGCACACCAAAUGGCAUGAGUCAGUGACACCAGCUCCGAGACCUGUUUUGAGCCCAAGCAACCGUCCAAGCCACACGCCUGCUUCUCCCGCUUUCAUGUGCGGACGAUAAUCGUGAUGUCGACAACAACUUGCCAUCAUCUUUCUCUGAACAUUCAUUCAACAAAUAAUUACUGUGCAUCCACUGAGUGCUAUCCCUCCCCGAGGCACUGAGUUGGUUCACUUCUCACUUCUCUGAUGGCUCUUUUUCUGAGAGUUCUGCCAUUUAAAUAAAAUGCGUCUACCACUGAUUGGGGCAGGGAAGCUGGACCGCCCACAGCCCUGCUUAGGGAGGCAGCCUCCAGGAGAAAAGCAGCAGGCUCCCUGCAGUGGCGCCCCCCUCCCCCGAAUCCUUUUAGAAGAUGGGAGACAGAUCAUCUUCUCCUGCUCCAUCGCCAUCAUCAUUGUCAAGGACACCUUCUCCUGAGAAGCCAUUAUCUGCUGAACUUCGGGCCAUUUGUUUGACCGUCAUCAUCUCUGACCCUCACACCAACUCUGAAAACCACACAGUAACUACAGCCCAGCCCAGGGAGGCAACCUUCCCUCCUACAGCAGCCGAGGCGCUCCCCUCAUACCUCUGGCUACACAGGACACACCUCAGCAGCGAUUCCCGUGGCCACGGUGCCCUCACCAUGCAUUCUGGGCCCUGCCAAGGCAGUUACUUUGAUCCUGAAUAGGAGACUCCAGAUCACACGGGAUGUGCAGUUCCUUUUAGGCAGCUGGCAUGAGCUUAGCACAGAUGCCUCCCGGAGCAGGACUGCUUUGCUGCCUCCUGGGAGGUGCAUCAUCAAAACCUCCUGCCCUGACCCACACCGUGACUCUCUCCAUUCGUGCUUCUGGCUGGAGCUACCAGGUAACCGACGUGGGAGUCUAUGACUGCUUCAUUUGGCUCAGAGUUCCUUCUGGAGGAGCUGGCGUCUCAAAGUUGGUUAGCAGUAAGCGAGCCCUGAGGCGCUAGCUAUUAAGGCCUGAAAGGUGGGCACAACUGGGCUGCGGUCUGUGUGGGUGGUCCCCAGGAAGUCCCCUGGCUUCUCUAGGAUUUCGGUUUCUCUCAGGCUGGAAGCAAUCACAUAGUUUUUAGGGCUCCGUUUCACCCCUUUCUUGUCCUGUCCUUAGUGCUUACCAAAUGUCUAUGUGUACAUCUACAUUUUCAGCUUCCUAUGUAGUCAGACUGAGGCCAAAUGACAGAGUGUCAGCUACUAGCCAGUGGGACACAGGCAGCAUUAAUGUACACCACUUCAAGGCUUGGUCCUUAUAAAACCUCCCAGGAGCCUUGCUUCUCUCUUUUCCUCCACUGCUUGGGAACUACACAUUCUAGGCUUACAUCAGACUUUGUGUGAGGAAGAAAUAGAACUAUUAUUGUAUUAAAGCACUGAGCUUUGUUGGUCUAUCUGUUAGCAUAGCAUAGCGUAGCCUAUCCUGACUAAUACAUUUUCUUUUAUUCUGCCUAUUCACUCAUUCAUCCACUCAUUCAGAUGUCAUUCGUUCACUUGAUAUUAAUUAAGUGCCUACUACAGGGCUGGACACUAGUACUUUCGCAUGAAUAUACCUUGGGUUCUUCCCCUGGAGAAGAGGUGGAUAUCUAGGUGAGGAGAUGGAGAUGGGAGCAGAGACAAUGAUAAUACAGUGUGAUAAGUGUGUACAGGGUGCAUAACAUUGUGCUAUGUGCAGAGAAAUAAACAUUCAGAGGCCUUUACCUUUAGAAAACUUCAACUAUACUCUUUCUAGUUUCUUUCUUUAUCCUUUUUUCUAGACAGUGCUCACCCCUGCAUACGUGCCAGUUCUAAAAAAAAACAAAACCAAAAACUGCAUUUACCACCACUCUCUCCUUCCUACCAGCCCACCAUUCCAAAUCCAUCUUCCUGAAGUACCAUUUCUAUAGGUCAUGCCCCCGUCUGAAAAUCAUUCAGGGGGGUCUUUCUUUCAUUGCCCACGUAAGGUCCAAACUCCUUAAUUUGGCAUUGAUCCAGUUCUGAGCUAUCCUUCUAACAUUAUUUUCCUCUUCUCCUUCAACCAGAUUGGCAUAAUCCACGUCCAACAACCCACACCAUUGGUGAUCCCACUCCCAUGUCUUGUCUCACACCACUGUUUGCUCAGAAUUCCCCUCCUUGUCUGCCUAAGUCCCUUUCUCUCUUCAGAGUCCCACCUCAAGUGGUAUCUUUGGUCUUUCUGUCUACCCCAGUCUAUAGUAUUAAUAUAUUCAGCAACUUAGAUGAAACGGACAAUUCCUUGGAAAAAAACUAGCAAGGGACAGAGAAAAGAGAAAUAGUCCUAUGUGUCUUAAAGAAAUUGAAUUCUAAAUCAAAACCUUGCCCACAGAGGAAAUUCCAGGCCCAGAUGGCUUCACCAGUGAAUUCCAUAAAACAUUUUAGGAAGAAAUAAUCCGAUUUACAAAACUUCUUUCAGAAAAUAGAGGAGAACAUUUCCCAAUACAUUGUAUGAAGCUUGUAUAACCUUGAUACCAAAACCUGAUGAAAGACACUUCUAAAACAUCUAUAGCUAACAUCAUAUUUAAUGGUUAAACAUUGGCUGCUUUCUCUAAGAUAGGGAAGAAAUCAAAACAUCUACUUUCACCAGUAUAGUAAGACACAAAGAUACGAAAGGAAGUAGCAAAUACUGUCAUUUUCAGCAAAAUGAUUGUGUAGGUUUAAAACCCUAUGAAAUCUACAAAAACUGCUAGAACUAAAGAGUAAAAUUAGAAAAGUCACUGGUCAAUAUAUUGAAAAAAUCAAUUGUAUUUCUCUCUCUCUCUAUAUAUAUACUAGUAAUCAAAACUUGGAGAAGUAAAUAAAAAGGAAUACCAUUUAUAAUAUUAUCAAA
Molecule: long non-coding RNA, 3405 nt
Organism: Lagenorhynchus albirostris (white-beaked dolphin)
Lineage: Eukaryota; Metazoa; Chordata; Mammalia; Artiodactyla; Delphinidae
Exons: 8
Source: RefSeq, a predicted model, not a curated record